Long non-coding RNA from Trifolium pratense (red clover), 1366 nucleotides. RefSeq lists it as uncharacterized. NCBI's taxonomy places the organism in Eukaryota, Viridiplantae, Streptophyta, Magnoliopsida, Fabales, Fabaceae. The record is from RefSeq and is a predicted model, not a curated record. The transcript has 6 exons.
UUAAAAAAAAAUCUAACAAAAGACAUUUUCCCUUUACACUUAACACCAAUUAGUUCUAACUUCUCACGUUCUUACUCUGCCAGUCACGAUUUCCCCACACCACCGGCGGUCACGAUAUAGAUCCUUCUCAUAGGGGUUUCUUGAUGUUUUCCUUUUUCACUCUCGCAAAUCUCUAUCAAAUCCCUAAUAUUUGUUCGCAAAUCCUGUAAUCACAGAUCUGGACGGUUCUUAGGGUUUUCUCUAGCCAAUUUCACGAAUUGGGGGUUAGGUUAGACGUUCAUGACUGAGGUGACUCUGCUGCUGUUUAAUCUAUUAGGAGUGAUUUCACAAACUUUAGCAGGUUUGCUUCUCUUCUUGGUGAAUUUCAUUAAGCUUUCUUCUUCAGGUUAUAACCUUAGCACCACAUUUAAAUGUUGUUUUUACUGCUUGUGUGACUGUAUUUGUCAAACCAGCCCCACCAACUAAAUGUUGCUGAGUUCGUAUCUAACUGAGAGCGAAUGGUUUGUUGCUUGGAGAUGAACUUGUCACUGACCGUGAAAUUAACACCAACAAAAGAUGGAACAUUGAAUGUGAUGGACCAAUGGAAAGGUAAUGUCUCAACCCAUAUAGGUUAAGUUGUUCCAGAUUUCCCAAAAUCAUGGAUUAUGUGCAUAUUCUUAAUUUAUAGAGUUUCCUUUCUUAUAAGCUAUUAGCCAUAAUACUUUUUAUGCUUUCGAACUGCUAUAUUAUGCUCAAGUUAUAUUAUACAUACAUAGUGAUACUUGAUCCAAUGCAAAUUUUUGCUGCAAGUGCUUUUCCUUGUCCAUAUCUUCACAAUCCUUCAGAUAACUGUUUCAGGAUCAUAAACAGAUUUGAAAUGCUAAGAAAACUUUGAAAUUUGGCUAAUGUUUAUUUGGUAGAUUAUCUUUCUAAUUAAGAAACUGCAGUGGAAAACUUGAAAAUAUUUGAGGAUUAUCAUUAAGCUUUAGGUGCUUCCUAUAUAUGUUUGUAGCAAUCAGUUUCUUCUUUCCCCUUUUAAUUCUUUGCCAGAUUGAUGUAAAAUAUACAUAAAGGUAGAGCUUAUAAAGACACUUCACAGGGAUCAAUCUAGAGAAGUCAGAGACUAUGUAUGUCAUGAGCAAGAGACUUUAUAUGUUGGAUUAAGCUUCUACUAGCUAGGUUCAAGACCAAACGAAUUAUCCAAGUCCACACAUUGAUGAAGAUGGAAGAGAUGAAGACUAGAAGCUAAUUAUAUCCCAACGAAUUAGCUUAGUUACUUUCCGUCAUGUUUUUCUAUAUUAUUAUGUAGUGUCGUAGUGACGCACUUGAUACUUUGUAAGAAUCACAAAUUUUUAUGUUAAUGUUAUAAAUUUGGUGUUGAUCAAAA